RNAcentral lists this ribosomal RNA (2893 nucleotides) under Escherichia coli. RNAcentral describes it as "bacterial LSU rRNA". It matches the Rfam family "Bacterial large subunit ribosomal RNA". Lineage: Bacteria; Pseudomonadati; Pseudomonadota; Gammaproteobacteria; Enterobacterales; Enterobacteriaceae. The record is from RNAcentral.
ACUAAGCGUACACGGUGGAUGCCCUGGCAGUCAGAGGCGAUGAAGGACGUGCUAAUCUGCGAUAAGCGUCGGUAAGGUGAUAUGAACCGUUAUAACCGGCGAUUUCCGAAUGGGGAAACCCAGUGUGUUUCGACACACUAUCAUUAACUGAAUCCAUAGGUUAAUGAGGCGAACCGGGGGAACUGAAACAUCUAAGUACCCCGAGGAAAAGAAAUCAACCGAGAUUCCCCCAGUAGCGGCGAGCGAACGGGGAGGAGCCCAGAGCCUGAAUCAGUGUGUGUGUUAGUGGAAGCGUCUGGAAAGGCGCGCGAUACAGGGUGACAGCCCCGUACACAAAAAUGCACAUGCUGUGAGCUCGAUGAGUAGGGCGGGACACGUGGUAUCCUGUCUGAAUAUGGGGGGACCAUCCUCCAAGGCUAAAUACUCCUGACUGACCGAUAGUGAACCAGUACCGUGAGGGAAAGGCGAAAAGAACCCCGGCGAGGGGAGUGAAAAAGAACCUGAAACCGUGUACGUACAAGCAGUGGGAGCACGCUUAGGCGUGUGACUGCGUACCUUUUGUAUAAUGGGUCAGCGACUUAUAUUCUGUAGCAAGGUUAACCGAAUAGGGGAGCCGAAGGGAAACCGAGUCUUAACUGGGCGUUAAGUUGCAGGGUAUAGACCCGAAACCCGGUGAUCUAGCCAUGGGCAGGUUGAAGGUUGGGUAACACUAACUGGAGGACCGAACCGACUAAUGUUGAAAAAUUAGCGGAUGACUUGUGGCUGGGGGUGAAAGGCCAAUCAAACCGGGAGAUAGCUGGUUCUCCCCGAAAGCUAUUUAGGUAGCGCCUCGUGAAUUCAUCUCCGGGGGUAGAGCACUGUUUCGGCAAGGGGGUCAUCCCGACUUACCAACCCGAUGCAAACUGCGAAUACCGGAGAAUGUUAUCACGGGAGACACACGGCGGGUGCUAACGUCCGUCGUGAAGAGGGAAACAACCCAGACCGCCAGCUAAGGUCCCAAAGUCAUGGUUAAGUGGGAAACGAUGUGGGAAGGCCCAGACAGCCAGGAUGUUGGCUUAGAAGCAGCCAUCAUUUAAAGAAAGCGUAAUAGCUCACUGGUCGAGUCGGCCUGCGCGGAAGAUGUAACGGGGCUAAACCAUGCACCGAAGCUGCGGCAGCGACGCUGAUGCGUUGUUGGGUAGGGGAGCGUUCUGUAAGCCUGCGAAGGUGUGCUGUGAGGCAUGCUGGAGGUAUCAGAAGUGCGAAUGCUGACAUAAGUAACGAUAAAGCGGGUGAAAAGCCCGCUCGCCGGAAGACCAAGGGUUCCUGUCCAACGUUAAUCGGGGCAGGGUGAGUCGACCCCUAAGGCGAGGCCGAAAGGCGUAGUCGAUGGGAAACAGGUUAAUAUUCCUGUACUUGGUGUUACUGCGAAGGGGGGACGGAGAAGGCUAUGUUGGCCGGGCGACGGUUGUCCCGGUUUAAGCGUGUAGGCUGGUUUUCCAGGCAAAUCCGGAAAAUCAAGGCUGAGGCGUGAUGACGAGGCACUACGGUGCUGAAGCAACAAAUGCCCUGCUUCCAGGAAAAGCCUCUAAGCAUCAGGUAACAUCAAAUCGUACCCCAAACCGACACAGGUGGUCAGGUAGAGAAUACCAAGGCGCUUGAGAGAACUCGGGUGAAGGAACUAGGCAAAAUGGUGCCGUAACUUCGGGAGAAGGCACGCUGAUAUGUAGGUGAAGUCCCUCGCGGAUGGAGCUGAAAUCAGUCGAAGAUACCAGCUGGCUGCAACUGUUUAUUAAAAACACAGCACUGUGCAAACACGAAAGUGGACGUAUACGGUGUGACGCCUGCCCGGUGCCGGAAGGUUAAUUGAUGGGGUCAGCGCAAGCGAAGCUCUUGAUCGAAGCCCCGGUAAACGGCGGCCGUAACUAUAACGGUCCUAAGGUAGCGAAAUUCCUUGUCGGGUAAGUUCCGACCUGCACGAAUGGCGUAAUGAUGGCCAGGCUGUCUCCACCCGAGACUCAGUGAAAUUGAACUCGCUGUGAAGAUGCAGUGUACCCGCGGCAAGACGGAAAGACCCCGUGAACCUUUACUAUAGCUUGACACUGAACAUUGAGCCUUGAUGUGUAGGAUAGGUGGGAGGCUUUGAAGUGUGGACGCCAGUCUGCAUGGAGCCGACCUUGAAAUACCACCCUUUAAUGUUUGAUGUUCUAACGUUGACCCGUAAUCCGGGUUGCGGACAGUGUCUGGUGGGUAGUUUGACUGGGGCGGUCUCCUCCUAAAGAGUAACGGAGGAGCACGAAGGUUGGCUAAUCCUGGUCGGACAUCAGGAGGUUAGUGCAAUGGUAUAAGCCAGCUUGACUGCGAGCGUGACGGCGCGAGCAGGUGCGAAAGCAGGUCAUAGUGAUCCGGUGGUUCUGAAUGGAAGGGCCAUCGCUCAACGGAUAAAAGGUACUCCGGGGAUAACAGGCUGAUACCGCCCAAGAGUUCAUAUCGACGGCGGUGUUUGGCACCUCGAUGUCGGCUCAUCACAUCCUGGGGCUGAAGUAGGUCCCAAGGGUAUGGCUGUUCGCCAUUUAAAGUGGUACGCGAGCUGGGUUUAGAACGUCGUGAGACAGUUCGGUCCCUAUCUGCCGUGGGCGCUGGAGAACUGAGGGGGGCUGCUCCUAGUACGAGAGGACCGGAGUGGACGCAUCACUGGUGUUCGGGUUGUCAUGCCAAUGGCACUGCCCGGUAGCUAAAUGCGGAAGAGAUAAGUGCUGAAAGCAUCUAAGCACGAAACUUGCCCCGAGAUGAGUUCUCCCUGACUCCUUGAGAGUCCUGAAGGAACGUUGAAGACGACGACGUUGAUAGGCCGGGUGUGUAAGCGCAGCGAUGCGUUGAGCUAACCGGUACUAAUGAACCGUGAGGCUUAACC